RNAcentral lists this ribosomal RNA (253 nucleotides) under uncultured bacterium. RNAcentral's name for it is "partial 16S ribosomal RNA". It matches the Rfam family "Bacterial small subunit ribosomal RNA", at positions 524 to 776 of the family's 1533-position model. The record is from RNAcentral.
UACGGAGGGUGCAAGCGUUAAUCGGAAUGACUGGGCGUAAAGGGUGCGUAGGUGGAUGACUAAGUUAUAGGUGAAAUCACUGGGCUCAACCUGGUGUGGAAUUAUAAUACUGGUUGUCUAGAGUAUAGGAGAGGGUAGUGGAAUUUCCGGUGUAGCGGUGAAAUGCGUAGAGAUCGGAAGGAACACCAGUUGCGAAGGCGGCUACCUGGCCUGGUACUGACACUGAGGCACGAAAGCGUGGGGAGCAAACAGG